GAUGAACGCUAGCGGGAGGCUUAAUACAUGCAAGUCGAGCGGUAGAGCGAUUUCGGUUGCUCGAGAGCGGCGCACGGGUGAGUAACGCGUACGCAACUUACCUCCAAGCGGGGCAUAGCCCCGGGAAACUGGGAUUAAUACCCCAUAGUUUGCAUUGGCUGCAUGGUCAGUGCAAUAAAGUUGAGGCGCUUGGAGAUAGGCGUGCGUCUGAUUAGGUAGUUGGUAGGGUAACGGCCUACCAAGCCGACGAUCAGUAGGGGGCGUGAGAGCGUGGCCCCCCACACGGGUACUGAGACACGGACCCGACUCCUACGGGAGGCAGCAGUAAGGAAUAUUGGACAAUGGGCGCAAGCCUGAUCCAGCCAUCCCGCGUGCUUGAUGAAGGCCCUCUGGGUUGUAAAGAGCUUUAGUCUGGGAAGAAACCGUUUUCUGCGGAAGACGCUGACGGUACCAGAAGAAUAAGCACCGGCUAACUCCGUGCCAGCAGCCGCGGUAAUGUCGA
RNAcentral lists this ribosomal RNA (502 nucleotides) under uncultured bacterium. Its description in RNAcentral is "bacterial SSU rRNA". It matches the Rfam family "Bacterial small subunit ribosomal RNA", at positions 28 to 529 of the family's 1533-position model. The record is from RNAcentral.